This is an RNA transcript of Acanthopagrus latus (yellowfin seabream), 2881 nucleotides long. RefSeq lists it as uncharacterized. NCBI's taxonomy places the organism in Eukaryota, Metazoa, Chordata, Actinopteri, Spariformes, Sparidae. The record is from RefSeq and is a predicted model, not a curated record. The transcript has 9 exons.
AAGUGAUGAAAACAAGCAUACCCAACAACACCAUACAGGAACUAGAGAAAAUAAAGAUACGACCGGCGAAGUCUGGACUUUAUUUGACAAACAAAGUUUGUAGACGGUAAACAAAUGGACUUUACAGGACGAUAUUCACAAGCUGGAAUACUUUUAUGAGAAACCAUUUUGAUGCUUUUGAAUCAGUGGAUUCUUACGGACAACUGGAAUAUAAAUAAUUGAGGAUCGGACACAUAUUACGGCUUUAUGGCCGCGUCAAAUGUAGGGAGUCGCCGUGUGUUUCUUGUAUCUCACGUUUACCAUGCUGUUGAAUAUCAAUGAUUUAUGGUUUAGUGCUCAUGAUUUCUGCAAAAUCAACUGGAUGAAUGAAUUGCUGAGAUUCUACCCUUUCUAACGACGUAUAGUAUGUCCGUAAUGAUGAAAGCUGAAGCGAGAUACGUCACUGCGCAGUGUAGAAAAUAGUCGCUUAUCUGAAAUCGCCCGCCGGCGGGCGGGUGGGGUGCAUAGAAUGAGUCAGAAUCACGUGACUAUAAACGACCUAUGAGGAUCAAGACAGUUCAACGGUCGUGCUUAUGCCAGUGGGCCAGUUACGUCAUCGCAAAUACGGAAAAUCGGCGCGAACACGGAACUUGGCACUUUGGGGAAAAAAAGGAAAAGUCUGCUGUCCAUCCUCAGCAACACUCAGAUUUUCGGUAAGUGGCACAAGUUGCUCAGCUAUCUGACACAAACUUGAGUUAUUUUUGCGUUUAUGUACUUUUGCGUCGUGUGUGUUGAUUUUUUUCACUUUUCGUUUCAUCGCCGUCGAGGAUUUCGGCGGAUUUUGAUGACAACGACAGAGGACGAGGGAGGACUUCGCCACAGCACACUGUGCCGCCGUUUUACAGAAGAACAAAUAAUGGACUCCAUUAAGAGGGCAAUACAGACCGCGCUACCACAGCUAGAUGAAGCAAAACUUGAAACUUUGGUCAAUGAGUUGGUGACCAAAGUAGGUGUUGAAGGUCCAGAGGAUCUGCAGUUCAUUCAAGAAGAUGACCUCAAACAUCUGCUCACACCCAUUCAGUGCAGAAAGAUUCUUCAUUCCUUGAAAGCAGGUCCUGUUGAUACCCAGCCGAGCUCUUCAUUGCCUGAGCCACUGCCAGUUGCCUCUUCCAGCACAUGCCCCAUAUCACCCAUCAGUCCCAAUUCUGCAUGGGUGGACAAUUUUGAGGUGCCAUGGAACAAAAUGAGGCCAAGUCUUAGAAGAGCAGUUGAUGCUGGUGAGAAGCCAGCUCCGGAGGACCGCCGACACUUGAUAAGAGUCACUGUUGAUGCGAUGAGAGACCAUUCCUUGAACCCUACUCGCAGCGAGUGCGUGGUAGUGGCAAAAGCCAUCACUCAAAAAUAUCCAAAUACCUUUUUAGACACAAAUGAAGAGGGGGAGCUACUUGGAUGUGGGUAUUUCAGUGUUUUAAAUCAGCUCAAGACCAGAGUAGAGUAUUUGAACCGAGGCAACACUCUUUCCCGUCUGAGGAAUCCCAAACGCACCCAGAGAGAUGAUGAGGAAGGUGAUGAUGACGACCAGCCACCAGUAGCUACAUGCGCAAGACGUGACAGUUAUGGGUGUGUUCGUUGGCAGCCAGAAGACUAUCCAGAAGGGGAAACAUCAGCAUCAUUAGAGGAAAAGAAGCUUGAGAUGUUGGAUAUAUUCAACCGAGAGGGACUCAAGGGCGCUGAGAGAGGAAGGGUAGAAGACCUAAUGGCAAUCACUUAUGCCAAACAGCGGGAAUACAUCAACGCAAACCCUUCCCCAAGCAUUCUGGAUGUAGGCAAAGAGUGGCCAUUUCUCUUUUCACAGAAGUUUUUAUUCUCACACUUCACCACUCUCACCAGUGUUGAACUAUACACAAGACUGAACGAAGACUUGAACAAAAAGGGUAAAAGACUUCUGGAUUUCUUCAGUAGUCAGAUUACAAGGUGGAAGAAGGAAGUAAGAGCCGUUUUGAAGGAAGCCCUAAAGAAGGACCGAGAAGGAACUGAUGGCCUAGCAGCAAUGCUUGUGAUGUUGGCAUACUUCAAAGAGCAAGAGGAUUCUCUUUUUCUCCUUGCUGAUUGUAUUGCAGGCUGGCGAGCUUCCAAUGGCAUCUUGUCCUUGGUCAGGUGACUACCACUCCUGCAGACGCAGAGGCCCACCUGUCUCUCCCCAUAACACCGAGGAUCAUCAUGCUUGGUUAAAAAGACAACGUCUGCGGAGAGACAAUCCUGAGUGCCCAAAAAUGGAUGCUGUCAAUUGAGGGGAGGGUUGUAAUCCCAACUGCUGCUCACCUCACUGACUUUACCACUGCCUUGGCUGCUCUCUUCGCCUGCUACUAUGUCUUCAACCUCGAGUAUCAGGUGGAAGCCAACACCACAUUGGAGUUUGUUCAGAGGUUUUUAGUCAGAAUUAAUCCGGACUCCACGAAAUGCACAGCCAAGGAGCAAAUAAGCCGGAGGACUGGGAGAGUGGUGAAGCGGAAGAAUGCAUAUAUGAACCCCAAUGUAAUCUCCUUCAUCAGGGAGUUCACAGAGUUUGAUUGGCUUACUGACUAGAUGCAGGGCUUCAACUUGGAGCCUUGAGGCCUUGGACCAUUUGUGGCUGGUAGGGGAAUGAGAGGUCUUCCCUUCUUUGUUCUUUCCCCACCAUGUUUUUGUAUUUUCUAUUUGAAAUGUUGUAUUUUACAAAUUUUAUAGUGCCCUGUUGUAUUGUUCAUGCAAAUAUUCACUAUUUUAGAUUAUAUUACCCUUGUGUUUUAAAAAAAAAUAUAUAAUUGUGAAGCAAGUUGUUUCAUUUGCCAUACAGCACUUAUCAGUGUCACAGUUCUAUUCCUUUUCACCAAAUGUUAAAUAAAUAAUGGUGUUAACAAUU